Molecule: ribosomal RNA, 369 nt
Filed under: Triticum aestivum (bread wheat)
Lineage: Eukaryota; Viridiplantae; Streptophyta; Magnoliopsida; Poales; Poaceae
Description: partial small subunit ribosomal RNA
Source: RNAcentral
AUGCACAUGAAUGAGUUGGUAUCCCAUGGAAUUGAAUACAAGAUAACUCAAGAUAAGGGGACACAUGCUAAUGCUCCUAGUUUAGUUAUCCCUGUGGUCUCAGCUCCUUUCCAAGAAGCGAUGCAUGUUUUGCCAAGCUCAUGCAGAUGUGGGAGUAGGCGCCUUGAGUGCGGCAUGUUACUCCCCCCUAUUCACAAAUAUAUACAUGCCACCAUGGGAAGUGUGCAAUUAAGCAUUGCCAAUCUUGGACCUUUUAAUAUUGCAAAACCAAAGGGUAUCCAGAUGCCUUCAUUUGAAAUGAUAAUUGCCCCUUAUGGGGUUAACGUUCGGAUGGAAAAUAUAUUCAUAAAAAGAAACCCAGCAUCCUAG